This 227-nucleotide unclassified non-coding RNA is filed under the name plant metagenome. RNAcentral's name for it is "partial contains small subunit ribosomal RNA and internal transcribed spacer 1". The stretch from base 1 to 46 matches the Rfam family "Eukaryotic small subunit ribosomal RNA", at positions 1786 to 1831 of the family's 1831-position model. The record is from RNAcentral.
AAGUCGUAACAAGGUUUCCGUAGGUGAACCUGCGGAAGGAUCAUUAAAAGAGUUAGGGUCCUAGUGGCCCAACCUCCAACCCUGUUGUAAAACACCUUGUUGCUUUGGCGGGACCUUCGGUCUCCAGCGCGUUAACCUUCGGGUUGGCGAGCGCCCGCCAGAGUCCAACCAAACUCUUGUAUUAAACCAGUCGUCUGAGUAUAAAAUUUUUAAUUUAAAAUUAAAAA